UGUCAAAAACCAUCAAAAAUGUCAUAGUAUACUAAGGCGUCAAAAAAUGUCAUAGUAUACUAAGGCGUCAAAAACCAUCAAAAAUGUCAUAGUAUACUAAGGCGUCAGAAAUUAUCAAAAACUGUCAUAGUAUUGUAAGGUGUCAAAAACCAUCAAAAAUAUAGUAUAGCAAGGCAUCAAAAAGAUCAGAUCAGAUAUGUCAUAGUAUACUAAGGCAUCAAAAAUGGUCAAAAAAUGUCACAGUAAAGUAAGGUGUCAAAACCCAUCAAAAAAUAUAGUACAGCAAGGCAUCAAAAAUGUCAUAGUAUACUAAGGAGUAAAAAAUGGUCAAAAAAUGUCACAGUAAAGUAAGGCGUCAGAAAUGAUCAAAAAUGUCAUAAUAUACUAAUGCGUCAAAAAUGGUCAAAAAAUGUCACAGUAAAGUAAGGCAUCAAAAACCAUCAAAAUGUCAUAGUAUACUAAGGUGUCAGCAAUCAUCAAGAAAUGUCACAGUAAGGUGUCAAAAAUGGUCCAAAAAUGUCACAGUAAAGUAAGGCAUCAGAAAUCAGCAAAAAAUGUCACAGUAAAGUAAGGUGUCAAAAAUGGUCAAAAACUGUCAUAGUAAAGUAAGGUGUCAGAAAUCAGCAAAAAAUUUCACAGUAAAGUAAGGCGUCAGAAAUCAUCAAAAAAUGUCACAGUAAAGUAAGGUGUCAAAAAUGGUCAAAAACUGUCAUAGUAAAGUAAGGCGUCAGAAAUCAGCAAAAAAUUUCACAGUAAAGUGUCAAAAAUGGUCAAAAAAUGUCAUAGUAUAGUAAUGUGUCAAAACCCAUCAAAAAAUAUAGUACAGCAAGGCAUCAAAAAUGUCAUAGUAUACUAAGGAGUAAAAAAUGGUCAAAAAAUGUCACAGUAAAGUAAGGCGUCAGAAAUGAUCAAAAAUGUCAUAAUAUACUAAUGCGUCAAAAAUGGUCAAAAAAUGUCAUGGUAUAGCAAGGCAUCAAAAACCAUCAAAAAUGUCAUAGUAUACUAAGGUGUCAGAAAUGAUCAAAAACUGUCAUGGUGUAGUAAGGCAUGAAAAAUGGUCCAAAAAUGUUAUAGUAUAGAAAGGUGUCAAAAACCAUCAAAAAUGUCAUAGUAUACUAAGGCGUCAAAAAAUGUCAUAGUAUACUAAGGCGU
Molecule: long non-coding RNA, 1152 nt
Organism: Lates calcarifer (barramundi perch)
Lineage: Eukaryota; Metazoa; Chordata; Actinopteri; Centropomidae
Exons: 3
Source: RefSeq, a predicted model, not a curated record